This 385-nucleotide unclassified non-coding RNA is filed under the name Mycolicibacterium aubagnense. RNAcentral describes it as "partial 16S-23S ribosomal RNA intergenic spacer". The record is from RNAcentral. Lineage: Bacteria; Bacillati; Actinomycetota; Actinomycetes; Mycobacteriales; Mycobacteriaceae.
AGUGUCGGGGUUCAUGGUUGGGAGAUGGCCGGCGCCUGUAGUGGGUUGUCGGUGGGUGCAUACAACGAACGCUGGUCAGCUGGGAUGACACGUUGACCGAUGAAAUCGCCGAACACACUGUUGGGUCCUGAGACAACAGGCCCGUUCGCUUCCUCCUUUUGGGGUGGGAGACAUCGUCCCGUUGGGGAUGGUGGGGGUUGUUGUUGCCUCACCGGUUUUGGUGGUGGGGUGUGGUGUUUGACUUGUGGAUAGUGGUUGCGAGCAUCUAAUGCGCAACGAAUGGUUGCCGGCGGCUUUCGGGUCGUUGGUUUCUUGUUCUGUUGUGUGUUGAUGUGCAAUUUUGAUUCUUGUUUUCAAUUGGUUUUUUGUGUCGUAAGUGUCUAAG